This 334-nucleotide long non-coding RNA is filed under the name Trifolium pratense (red clover). RNAcentral's name for it is "long non-coding RNA (TPRA_LNC010433)". The record is from RNAcentral. Lineage: Eukaryota; Viridiplantae; Streptophyta; Magnoliopsida; Fabales; Fabaceae.
UGUUCUUGCUAGUGUUAUUUUUGGUGAUAUCAAGUUGGCAAGACACCAAACUCCGAUCUUAGAUAUUUUUGUGUUUAUAAAAGAAUAAUGUAUUGUAUCUUUUAUGAUGCCUUAAGAGUAUCUCUAAUAUGGGUAUUUAAGAGAGUUUCAUAGACUAAUGUACGAUACAUUAUUUUUUUUAUCAUUAGAGUUUCAUGACGUGGCACAUUGAGUUUCGCCGCCUUCUGUUUUGUCAAUCGGUGUGAGUGCAUCAUUUUUUCUGUCUUUUCUCUUCCUCUUCACUAUUUUUGCUUCUUUUUGUUAAUCUAUUUCUUCAACUUCUAAUAUCUGGUUC